RNAcentral lists this transfer RNA (75 nucleotides) under Candidatus Tepidiaquacellales bacterium OLB4/UTCHB1. RNAcentral describes it as "Chlorobi bacterium OLB4 tRNA-Met". It matches the Rfam family "tRNA". Rfam says of the family: Transfer RNA (tRNA) molecules are approximately 80 nucleotides in length. Their secondary structure includes four short double-helical elements and three loops (D, anti-codon, and T loops). Further hydrogen bonds mediate the characteristic L-shaped molecular structure. tRNAs have two regions of fundamental functional importance: the anti-codon, which is responsible for specific mRNA codon recognition, and the 3' end, to which the tRNAs corresponding amino acid is attached (by aminoacyl-tRNA synthetases). tRNAs cope with the degeneracy of the genetic code in two manners: having more than one tRNA (with a specific anti-codon) for a particular amino acid; and 'wobble' base-pairing, i.e. permitting non-standard base-pairing at the 3rd anti-codon position. RNAcentral also lists the same sequence under 1 other name. The record is from RNAcentral. Lineage: Bacteria; Pseudomonadati; Ignavibacteriota; Ignavibacteria; Candidatus Tepidaquicellales.
ACCGGAGUAGCUCAGCUGGUUAGAGCGUCGGAAUCAUAAUCCGUAGGUCGGGGGUUCAAGUCCCUCCUCCGGUAC